This 1177-nucleotide ribosomal RNA is filed under the name Enterobacter sp. MF024. RNAcentral describes it as "partial 23S ribosomal RNA". It matches the Rfam family "Bacterial large subunit ribosomal RNA", at positions 1 to 1212 of the family's 2925-position model. Lineage: Bacteria; Pseudomonadati; Pseudomonadota; Gammaproteobacteria; Enterobacterales; Enterobacteriaceae. The record is from RNAcentral.
GGGUUGUGAGGUUAAGCGACUAAGCGUACACGGUGGAUGCCCUGGCAGUCAGAGGCGAUGAAGGACGUGCUAAUCUGCGAAAAGCGCCGGCGAGGUGAUAUGAACCUUUGACCCGGCGAUGUCCGAAUGGGGAAACCCAGUGUGAUUCGUCACACUAUCGUUAACUGAAUACAUAGGUUAACGAGGCGAACCGGGGGAACUGAAACAUCUAAGUACCCCGAGGAAAAGAAAUCAACCGAGAUUCCCCCAGUAGCGGCGAGCGAACGGGGAGCAGCCCGGAGUCUGAAUCAGCUUGUGUGUUAGUGGAACGGUCUGGAAAGUCCGACGGUACAGGGUGAUAGUCCCGUACAUGAAAGCACACAUGCUGUGAACUCGAAGAGUAAGGCGGGACACGUGGUAUCCUGUCUGAAUAUGGGGGGACCAUCCUCCAAGGCUAAAUACUCCUGACUGACCGAUAGUGAACCAGUACCGUGAGGGAAAGGCGAAAAGAACCCCGGCGAGGGGAGUGAAAAAGAACCUGAAACCGUGUACGUACAAGCAGUGGGAGCACCCUUGUGGUGUGACUGCGUACCUUUUGUAUAAUGGGUCAGCGACUUAUAUUCUGUAGCAAGGUUAACCGUAUAGGGGAGCCGAAGGGAAACCGAGUCUUAACUGGGCGUUAAGUUGCAGGGUAUAGACCCGAAACCCGGUGAUCUAGCCAUGGGCAGGUUGAAGGUUGGGUAACACUAACUGGAGGACCGAACCGACUAAUGUUGAAAAAUUAGCGGAUGACUUGUGGCUGGGGGUGAAAGGCCAAUCAAACCGGGAGAUAGCUGGUUCUCCCCGAAAGCUAUUUAGGUAGCGCCUCGUGAAUUCAUCUCCGGGGGUAGAGCACUGUUUCGGCUAGGGGGCCAUCCCGGCUUACCAACCCGAUGCAAACUGCGAAUACCGGAGAAUGUUAUCACGGGAGACACACGGCGGGUGCUAACGUCCGUCGUGAAGAGGGAAACAACCCAGACCGCCAGCUAAGGUCCCAAAGUCAUGGUUAAGUGGGAAACGAUGUGGGAAGGCACAGACAGCCAGGAUGUUGGCUUAGAAGCAGCCAUCAUUUAAAGAAAGCGUAAUAGCUCACUGGUCGAGUCGGCCUGCGCGGAAGAUGUAACGGGGCUAAACCAUGCACCGAAGCUGCGGCAGCGAC